GACGAACGCUGGCGGCGUGCUUAACACAUGCAAGUCGAACGGAAAGGCCCUGCUUUUGUGGGGUGCUCGAGUGGCGAACGGGUGAGUAACACGUGAGUAACCUGCCCUUGACUUUGGGAUAACUUCAGGAAACUGGGGCUAAUACUGGAUAGGAGCUCCUGCUGCAUGGUGGGGGUUGGAAAGUUUCGGCGGUUGGGGAUGGACUCGCGGCUUAUCAGCUUGUUGGUGGGGUAGUGGCUUACCAAGGCUUUGACGGGUAGCCGGCCUGAGAGGGUGACCGGCCACAUUGGGACUGAGAUACGGCCCAGACUCCUACGGGAGGCAGCAGUGGGGAAUAUUGCACAAUGGGCGGAAGCCUGAUGCAGCAACGCCGCGUGCGGGAUGACGGCCUUCGGGUUGUAAACCGCUUUCGCCUGUGACGAAGCAUGAGUGACGGUAAUGGGUAAAGAAGCACCGGCUAACUACGUG
Molecule: ribosomal RNA, 468 nt
Filed under: uncultured bacterium
Lineage: Bacteria
Description: partial 16S ribosomal RNA
Rfam family: Bacterial small subunit ribosomal RNA
Source: RNAcentral